GAUGAAGAACGUAGCGAAAUGCGAUAAGUAAUAUGAAUUGCAGAAUUCAGUGAAUCAUCGAAUCUUUGAACGCACAUUGCGCCCGCCAGUAUUCUGGCGGGCAUGCCUGUUCGAGCGUCAUUACAACCCUCAGGCCCCCGGGCCUGGCGUUGGGGAUCGGCGGAAGCCCCCUGCGGGCACAACGCCGUCCCCCAAAUACAGUGGCGGUCCCGCCGCAGCUUCCAUUGCGUAGUAGCUAACACCUCGCAACUGGAGAGCGGCGCGGCCACGCCGUAAAACACCCAACUUCUGAAUGUUGACCUCGAAUCAGGUAGGAAUACCCGCUGAACUUAAGCAUAUCAAUAAGCGGAGGA
RNAcentral lists this unclassified non-coding RNA (353 nucleotides) under soil metagenome. Its description in RNAcentral is "partial contains 5.8S ribosomal RNA, internal transcribed spacer 2, and large subunit ribosomal RNA". The stretch from base 1 to 120 matches the Rfam family "5.8S ribosomal RNA", at positions 35 to 154 of the family's 154-position model. The record is from RNAcentral.